UCCUGGUGUAGCUCCUCCCCCUGGUGCUCACGGGCCCUGAUCAGUUCCAGCUUCCAAUGAUCCUCCUCACGGUUCAUCCCCAGCAUCUGAGCAUCAAUGUGCAUUGGUGGGCAGCUUGAACAAGCCUUUCAGUAGCAGGCUGGCCUUCCUCGCUUUGAGAACUCUCACCAGGCUGCCUCUGUGUCUGCGUGGGUGGGGUGGGGUGUCAAGGGGCAUGUGAAGAAACUUGAUUUUAGGAUGCUGGGUGACUGGGGAGGACUGAAUGUUGUGAUUGGUGUGGGUCUAGGUGGCUGUUCAUUAGUGUGUGGUUAGGAUGCCGGGUGCCAGAGGCGGA
Long non-coding RNA from Clupea harengus (Atlantic herring), 334 nucleotides. NCBI's taxonomy places the organism in Eukaryota, Metazoa, Chordata, Actinopteri, Clupeiformes, Clupeidae. The record is from Ensembl.